GAGUUUGAUCCUGGCUCAGAUUGAACGCUGGCGGCAGGCCUAACACAUGCAAGUCGAGCGGCAGCGGGAAAGUAGCUUGCUACUUUUGCCGGCGAGCGGCGGACGGGUGAGUAAUGCCUGGGAAAUUGCCCAGUCGAGGGGGAUAACAGUUGGAAACGACUGCUAAUACCGCAUACGCCCUACGGGGGAAAGCAGGGGACCUUCGGGCCUUGCGCGAUUGGAUAUGCCCAGGUGGGAUUAGCUAGUUGGUGAGGUAAUGGCUCACCAAGGCGACGAUCCCUAGCUGGUCUGAGAGGAUGAUCAGCCACACUGGAACUGAGACACGGUCCAGACUCCUACGGGAGGCAGCAGUGGGGAAUAUUGCACAAUGGGGGAAACCCUGAUGCAGCCAUGCCGCGUGUGUGAAGAAGGCCUUCGGGUUGUAAAGCACUUUCAGCGAGGAGGAAAGGUUGAUGCCUAAUACGUAUCAACUGUGACGUUACUCGCAGAAGAAGCACCGGCUAACUCCGUGCCAGCAGCCGCGGUAAUAC
RNAcentral lists this ribosomal RNA (530 nucleotides) under uncultured Aeromonas sp. RNAcentral's name for it is "bacterial SSU rRNA". It matches the Rfam family "Bacterial small subunit ribosomal RNA", at positions 9 to 526 of the family's 1533-position model. The record is from RNAcentral. Lineage: Bacteria; Pseudomonadati; Pseudomonadota; Gammaproteobacteria; Aeromonadales; Aeromonadaceae.